This 332-nucleotide ribosomal RNA is filed under the name uncultured Spirochaetota bacterium. RNAcentral describes it as "bacterial SSU rRNA". It matches the Rfam family "Bacterial small subunit ribosomal RNA", at positions 29 to 351 of the family's 1533-position model. The record is from RNAcentral. Lineage: Bacteria; Pseudomonadati; Spirochaetota.
AACUAACGCUGGCGGCGCGUCUUAAGCAUGCAAGUCGGACGGGAACCUUGGGCCGCAAGGCUUGAGGUGAGAGUGGCGGACGGGUGAGUAACACGUAGGUGAUCUGCCCUUGGGUGGGGAAUAGCCCAUGGAAACAUGGGGUAAUACCGCAUGAGGUCUUGGCCUUUUGGGGCUUUGAUGAAAGGAGCAAUUGCUCCGCCUGGGGAUGAGCCUGCGGUCCAUUAGCUAGUUGGUGAGGUAAGGGCCCACCAAGGCGACGAUGGAUAGCCGGCCUGAGAGGGUGAACGGCCACACUGGAACUGAGACACGGUCCAGACUCCUACGGGUGGCAG